GCACUGCUGAGGAGUCCCACAAUAGGACGAAACGGUCAUCCAGUAA
This is a non-coding RNA of Schistosoma margrebowiei, 46 nucleotides long. The record is from Rfam. Lineage: Eukaryota; Metazoa; Platyhelminthes; Trematoda; Strigeidida; Schistosomatidae.